GACGAACGCUGGCGGCGUGCUUAACACAUGCAAGUCGAACGGAAAGGCCCUGCUUUUGUGUGGUGCUCGAGUAGCGAACGGGUGAUUAACACGUGAGUAACCUGCCCUUGACUUUGGGAUAACUACAGGAAACUUGGUCUAAUACCUGAUAGGAGCUCCUGCUGCAUGGUGGGGGUUGGAAAGUUUCGGCGGUUGGGGAUGGACUGGCGGCUUAUCAGCUUGUUGGUGGGGUAGUGGCUUACCAAGGCUUUGACGGGUAGCCGGCCUGAGAGGGUGACCGGCCCCAUGGGGACUGAGAUACGGCCCAGACUCCUACGGGAGGCAGCAGUGGGGAAUAUUGCACAAUGGGCGGAAGCGUGAUGCAGAAACGCCGCGUGCGGGAUGACGGCCUUCGGGUUGUAAACCGCUUUCGCCUGUGACGAAGCGUGAGUGACGGUAAUGGGUAAAGAAGCACCGGCUAACUACGUG
This 468-nucleotide ribosomal RNA is filed under the name uncultured bacterium. Its description in RNAcentral is "partial 16S ribosomal RNA". It matches the Rfam family "Bacterial small subunit ribosomal RNA", at positions 28 to 507 of the family's 1533-position model. The record is from RNAcentral.